Molecule: non-coding RNA, 218 nt
Organism: Pelobates cultripes (western spadefoot toad)
Lineage: Eukaryota; Metazoa; Chordata; Amphibia; Anura; Pelobatidae
Source: the annotation of a GenBank genome assembly
GUGAGGGAGGGGGUGACUAGUGACAGAGUGAAAAAGGGGGUGACUAGUGACAGAGUGAGGGAGGUGGUGACUAGUGACAGUCAUCCCCUGACUGUCACCAGUCAUCCCCUCACUCUGUCACUAGUCACCCCUUCCUUCCCUCACUCUGACACUAGUUACCCCUUCCCUCACUCUGUCACCCCCUCACUCUGUCACUAGUCACCCCCUCACUCUGUCAC